Canis lupus familiaris (dog) is the source of this 1066-nucleotide long non-coding RNA. RefSeq lists it as uncharacterized. The transcript has 4 exons. The record is from RefSeq and is a predicted model, not a curated record. Lineage: Eukaryota; Metazoa; Chordata; Mammalia; Carnivora; Canidae.
UCGCCGGGUCCGUGCGACGCUAGCAAGGUGCAUGCGGCAGCGGGGACAAAGUGCAGCGGUGGGGCCCGGGGGCUUCCGCGGCCGCCGGAGGGGACCGCGUCCCCAGGUGCGGGCCCAGGCCCCGGGCGCACGCGCUCCCGGGGGGACCCAGGAGGAGGGACGUCCCCGCUCGGUCCCGGCGCGCUCAGGACUUGCUUCAUGGUCUCCUUUGCAGUCCCGCGUGCGUCCCGAAGGCAGGCUCCAGGUGCGCGUUAGGGACCGCGCGGACGAGCCCAGUAUGAGAAAAUAGGAGCAGAUACAACCAAAAUGCAUGGAGUUAGAUACCAGGAAAGAACUUCAGCAUUUCUAACUCGUGAUCCCUGCUUCAAAUCCUGUACCCGUGUUUUCCUCUCUCCAGUAUGACAUACAAAUUACGGCUCUGUCUUCAUUAUUGACUUUUCCCAGAGACAGAGAGAGGAGCAGGCUCUCCACAGGGAGCCUGAUGUGGGGCUCCAUCCCAGUAUCCCAGGAUCCCAACCUGAGCUGAAGGCAGAUGCUCAACACUGAGGCACCCGCGUGUCCCUGUGUGGCAACAUUUUAAAGCGGCAAGAAGAGCUCCUGGCUGAGGCCAGUGCCCAGAAUGAGGCGGGAUCUGUGCUCUGCCCCAAAACUCAGACCCUACCGGUGAUCAUCAACAUUCUCUGGAGACAGUAAUGGAGAGCUAAAUUUUCACUCCUGGCACCACGACUUACUCGGCUGUGGGAUCACUUCUCUGUGACAGUUCUCUUUUCUGGAAAUGAGGUUAAUGAUACCUACCUCUCGUACAGCACAGUGAAUCUAGACAACGAGAGUGUACUGUAAUCAUCAGACUUGCUAAGAGACUGGAAUUUAAUCAUUCCAUGAUUAGAAAGAAUAAUUAGGUGAGGUGAUGAAGGUGCUAAUUGUUGAUCCAGUGGCAAUCGUAUUACAAUGUGAGUGUGUCAAAUUGACAUUUUGUACUAUUUAAAUAUAUGCAAUGUUACAGGCCAAAUAUAUUGUAAUGACAAAAAGUAAUAAAAAUACCCACCUCACAGGGUUGCUGAAUGGA